Molecule: long non-coding RNA, 307 nt
Filed under: Lathyrus oleraceus (garden pea)
Lineage: Eukaryota; Viridiplantae; Streptophyta; Magnoliopsida; Fabales; Fabaceae
Description: Pisum sativum (pea) long non-coding RNA (PSAT_LNC037347)
Source: RNAcentral
AAUUCAAAGGAUCAAAAGAAAAUUCAAAGAGUUGCGGGAGUUGAACUAAAAAUAUUUCGUUAACUUUCAAACAACAACUUCUCAACUAUUUUUCUUCUCUUUUAUCUUUUUAUUCUCUUUUUUUUUCUUUUUCAGAUCAGAAGGAAUAUGUAAUGACAUCCUUCUUUUCUUUUUCUAUUUUUUUUCCAAUUUUUUUCUUUUUCAAUUUAUUUUCUUUUGUUCUGCCAACUUUUUUUUUAAUCAAAUAUCACAACUAUAACUAUUCAACCCCACACAACUCCAACAAGACUUUUUCAACCAUAUAAAU